Molecule: Y RNA, 99 nt
Filed under: Otolemur garnettii (small-eared galago)
Lineage: Eukaryota; Metazoa; Chordata; Mammalia; Primates; Galagidae
Description: Y RNA (ENSOGAG00000020231.1)
Rfam family: Y RNA
About the family: Y RNAs are components of the Ro ribonucleoprotein particle (Ro RNP), in association with Ro60 and La proteins. The Y RNAs and Ro60 and La proteins are well conserved, but the function of the Ro RNP is not known. In humans the RNA component can be one of four small RNAs -- hY1, hY3, hY4 and hY5.
Source: RNAcentral
GGCUGGUCCAAUGCUAAUGGAUUAUCAGAACUUAUUAACAUUAGUGUCACUAAAGUUGGCAUAUAACCCACACACACUGCUAAAUUUGACCAACUUGAG